UAUUCUAUUGGAUAUUAAUCAAUCUAUCGUAAGUUUUUUUUUUUUUUUCCACUUAAUUUUUAUUAAUGGGUCAAGAUCCAACUGGAACAAGCCCAACACAAAGAGACAAAGGCCCAACCAACGGGCUAAAAAAAACGGGCAACAACAACAGACCUCAGCAAAGGCCCAAGAAACAAAAGAGCCCAAGGGAAACCCGAUGACGAGACUUGGCGACGUGUUGAAACGAAGGUAUCGAGGGACACGUGCCAACCAAAGCCUCCACCACCUUCACCGACUGGAAACCCACCGCCGGAAGCUUAAUCGGCGAUCCACCGGAACAUACCGGAACAGGAACCCGUCUAAACAAUUCCGACGACCACUUUAAUGGAAGAUGGAGACACCAUAAUCCACAACGCCUAAGCCUUCAACGUCAGUACUCUGAUUAUAGGAAAGCAUCAAUCGACCGAAAUCGAGAGCAUAACCAAAGACAAUGAACAGCAACCGAGAGAAGACAGAAACGUCAAACGGAUCUACGCUUCAUAGAAAGGGUUCAAUUGAAACACAAUCAAUCCAAAACCUCCGAAAUCCAUUGGAGGAUGGACCGAGAAUCAAUUGAACAGAGAGGAGAAGUAGAUCAAACAAAGCCGGGAAAAACCCGGUGAGAAUCCGCCGUCGCCUUCGUGGAGAGCGCGACGCAGACGACCAAGCCGAAUAUCCAACACCGAGAGAACAGGCGCAGACAUCGGAGUCACAAGCCGGACGACCACCAGAAGGAUAAGCGCGCCGCCGGAGACAAAAGCCAACCGUUCUUACCGGAGGGGAAAGCAAGAACGUCGGAGUCAAAAUCCGGUCGGAUGAAACCGAAGCCGGGAGAACAAAACAUCAAGCUCUCUCACGCUCUAACCCAACUCAUACCUCUCUGAAAGAUUUUGUAUUGAUAAGAGAAGUAGAGAACGAGAGAAAAUUCUCUCACUGAAAGAGGAGAGAGAGCAGAUUCAAUCUAUCGUAAGUUAUUUCUUAGUGCCAAUAAAAUCGCACUCCUUCAGUUUUGUUAAUGUUUUU
This 1041-nucleotide long non-coding RNA is filed under the name Brassica napus (rape). RNAcentral describes it as "long non-coding RNA (BNAP_LNC004954)". Lineage: Eukaryota; Viridiplantae; Streptophyta; Magnoliopsida; Brassicales; Brassicaceae. The record is from RNAcentral.